Molecule: ribosomal RNA, 477 nt
Filed under: uncultured bacterium
Lineage: Bacteria
Description: partial 16S ribosomal RNA
Rfam family: Bacterial small subunit ribosomal RNA
Source: RNAcentral
GACGAACGCUGGCGGCGUGCCUAACACAUGCAAGUCGAGCGGAGAUAGUAGCAAUAUUAUCUUAGCGGCGGACGGGUGAGUAACGCGUGGGCAACCUGCCUCAUACAGGGGGAUAACACUGGGAAACUAGUGCUAAUACCGCAUAAUUCGGAGUCUUGGCAUCAAGAUUUCGGCAAAGGAGCAAUCUGGUAUGAGAUGGGCCCGCGUCCGAUUAGCUAGUUGGUGGUGUAACGGACCACCAAGGCGACGAUCGGUAGCCGAACUGAGAGGUUGAUCGGCCACAUUGGGACUGAGACACGGCCCAGACUCCUACGGGAGGCAGCAGUGGGGAAUAUUGCGCAAUGGGGGAAACCCUGACGCAGCAACGCCGCGUGAAGGAUGAAGGUUUUCGGAUUGUAAACUUCUUUGAUGAGGGACGAAUAAUGACGGUACCUCAAAAACAAGCCACGGCUAACUACGUGCCAGCCGCCGCAGUAA